AAGAUUUCUGUUAUUAACAUCAAUAUAAUUACUUGAUAAAUUUUACUUUAAAAAAGCAAAAUUAUGUUAUUGAGCUGGAAUUAGAGUUUGAAUAGUAAAACAUUUGAUAAAUAUCUGUGUAUACUUGAGAAAAAUACUGAUUUGAUUGUUUUGAUCCUAUAUUUCAAAUAAUGCAGCCCCUAGCAUUUGGAAAUAGUUUCCAUCUAAUAUGAAACUUAGAAAAUGUCGUAAGGAUAUAAACCGCACCACUGUUUUUAAUCAGUCAGACAUUCCACCAGUAUUACCUCAUAUAUAUAUAUAAAAUAUACACAAAUGGCCCAAGAGAAACAGGUUGGUUCUGCAUGUAUUUGUAUUAUGCUACUGGAAAUUCCUUGCCACCAUCACCUUCUGUCUAUACUACUGAACAGCAUGCUAUUUAUUUUGCUCUCCACUGUUUUACAGAAGCAGCAGCACAGUAUUAUAUAUUAUGAUCAUUGUGCUCUACAAGUACUAACAGAUAUCUAUUCCAACAUACACAGGUCUUAGAUAUUUAAAUUACUAUAUGAUCUUUCUGCACUUUCUUUUACUGUUUUUCUGAACUCCUAGACAUGUGGAAAUAUGAGGGAAUAAGAUUGCAGACAUGACUGCAAAGAACCUGUAUAUGUAUCAUUGUCAAUCUCCCAGAUAUUCCAUUAUGAAUUUCCAUGAAUAGUCCUCUAUGAAAAAUUUGUCAAUUUUUAUUGAGCAGAAAAAUUUCAAAUAAAUUAUACAGCAUUAAACCUGUGCUUGUAGAUUGGCAUUCUUCUGCCCAGAAGAGUUGUAAAGAGGAAAUGGUUCUGGUUUGCUUGAGAAUGUCACUGCGGGCCACCUCGUUUGCUUCUUUUGAAAAAGAAUCCUGUUGUUUUCGUUUGGUGUAAGUAGUUAGCCCCUGGCCACUAUGUGGCCAAAUAUACCAAAAAUGUAAUAAUUUUUUUUUUUCUUAUCUGUAAAAUUUUGAGAUUUUUCAUUUAUUCUUGUAUAAAACAUUUGUUUUCUUUCUCCAGACCAAACUUUGAAAUUUUCUUUUACAUGAAACUGGCAACUAACAAACUA
Molecule: long non-coding RNA, 1071 nt
Filed under: Androctonus crassicauda
Lineage: Eukaryota; Metazoa; Arthropoda; Arachnida; Scorpiones; Buthidae
Source: RNAcentral